Molecule: long non-coding RNA, 1640 nt
Filed under: Struthio camelus australis
Lineage: Eukaryota; Metazoa; Chordata; Aves; Struthioniformes; Struthionidae
Description: lncRNA (ENSSCUG00000017134.1)
Source: RNAcentral
UCUCACUUCAAAGUUGCUUUAGCAGAAUAAGAACAUUGCUUUAUGUUGAAAAAUGGGAACAAUGAACACUGGCAGGAACAUACUACAGAGCAGUAUACAUUUACAGAAAUGCCAUCAAACCGCCUACAGGUGCUGUCAGUUAUGGCUCAUUAAUGACUCAAACUCUACUCCACAAUCCUUUGGUGGUGAUCCAAGUGAAUGAAACAAGUGAAGUGUCCAUCGCUGGUACACAGAUCCACAUAGAAUUUCAAAAAUAUUUUAAAGUGUAUUAGAGAUGGGAUGAGGUGGUUCACAAGGUUUUUUGAAGACUGGCAUUCAUCCCUUGGCCCAAAAAGCGUAUGUGCAAAAUACCACUGAAUGCUGUGAAAAAAUCCACUGGACUCCUGAACUUUACACUGGUUCAGGUUCACCUCUGUAUGUGUCUCUACCGAGCCUUUUCAAAUGCUAUGUCAUAAUGUAGCAUUGAGAAUUCGUGCUGGGCUUUGUCGUUUUGAAGCUUCCUCUGUUGAACUUGCUCCUGUUGUUGCUUUCUGUAAGGCUCUUGGCAGCAGUUCCCACCUUACCCUGUCCGUUUUGUGCCAGCCACUCAUGCACCACAAACAGUGGUAUUUUGAGGAUAUAGAGCUUCCUUUCCCUUCUUUUUUGCCCUUAUCAACAGUGACAUUGCUCAAAAAGUCAACAUUUAAAUAUAUCAAUAUUCAGUCAAUGCCUCUUCGACAUGAAUGAGACAAUUUACGUCAUUCUAAGACAGCUUUACAUUGCUCUUUGCAGAGCAAAGAUCCCACAUUUUGGGGAUCAUGGCCUACAUGACAGAGAAGAUGGCAGUUCCAGAGCAACAAGUCCACGCUAAGUUACAUUUUCUGAUUUGGACAAUAAUCCAACUCCCUGAGCAGCCUCCUAGUUUUGAAAAAAACAGCUUUUUCCUCAUCUUGCUUCUUCCUGAAGGAAGCACCAAAUCGUUUAAGCAUAAAUAUAAUCAGGAGCCUUGUCCCAGGCACAUCAUGCAGUUGACAGAGAAAAUAUCUCUUCACAGGACGAUUCUUCCCCCAUCAACUACCCUCAGGAGCUGUCAACAUCUCUCCAUUAACUAAAGAAAGUUCCCGUAACAACUAAACCUCUAAGUGAGGUAUCCUACAUAGAAAUGGUGACUCUGAGCCUACAUGCUUCUGUUAGUUGGGACCUAUAGACGUAGGUGAAAGUGCAGUAUUAAGCUAUGGCAACAACAUAGAAACAUUCUGAUGUUUCUGUAACAAAACAAGGGAAAAAGAUUGAUUUUGCACCCACAGACAAUGUCCCAUACCAUUGCAAACACAGCUGAUGGAUUUUCUUUCCACUAAAAAGCAAAAAAAAAGCAUAAACUGAAGGAGAUUGAGAGCAGUGCAUUGCAGCAUUUGGGUUACAACAUAUGACUCUUCAAACUCCUCCUUUCCACUCCAUAUCCUUUUGUUGUUCCUAGUUAUCACUCACACCCUUGAUUUAUCUUUUUGAUCUAGGAAAAAGUGCCCUCGCUGCUCCAUGGCUAGAAAGCAGGGCUUAUGAAGAGGAAUGUACCUUAUGAAAGAUUUGAUCACUUGUCUGCGCACCUUGGGGAACACAGACAUGACAAUAAAGUGAUCAUUGGACUAGGUAGAAUACUGGCA